UGGUGGAGUGAUUUGUCUGCCUAAUCGCGAUAACGAACGAGACCUUGACCUGCUAAAUAGCCCGUAUUGCUUUGGCAGUACGCUGGCUUCUUAGAGGGACUAUCGGCUCAAGCCGAUGGAAGUUCGAGGCAAUAACA
Molecule: ribosomal RNA, 137 nt
Filed under: uncultured eukaryote
Lineage: Eukaryota
Description: partial 18S ribosomal RNA
Rfam family: Eukaryotic small subunit ribosomal RNA
Source: RNAcentral